This 71-nucleotide transfer RNA is filed under the name Actinomadura decatromicini. RNAcentral describes it as "Actinomadura sp. CYP1-5 tRNA-Gln". It matches the Rfam family "tRNA". Rfam says of the family: Transfer RNA (tRNA) molecules are approximately 80 nucleotides in length. Their secondary structure includes four short double-helical elements and three loops (D, anti-codon, and T loops). Lineage: Bacteria; Bacillati; Actinomycetota; Actinomycetes; Streptosporangiales; Thermomonosporaceae. The record is from RNAcentral.
UGCUGGAUCAUCCAACGGCAGGAUGCGUGGCUCUGGACCACGUCAUGCAGGUUCGAACCCUGCUCCAGCAG